CUGGGAAGGAGAGGGGUGGAAUCUGGGGAGUCCCAAGGAGAUGCAGAGAAGCAGGAGAUGAACAUGUUGUGCUGAAUAAAGAGAGAGGUUGAAAAUGAAAAGAAGUUACGACAAUGCAGAGGAUCCUCGGGAUUCUGAGGAAAAUGGCAUUUUGAAAAUUGAGCAGGAAGUCAAGGCCGGAAGACAGUGGCCGCCGCUGACUUAAUAUGACACAUGGGAAAUGGAGACGAGGCCUCUGCUUCCCUGACACAACACUGAUGGACGCAUAGGAUGCUAUCUCUAAGGUCUGGCAAGAUGGCCUGGUUCAAGCCAGGCGACAGACUGCACAGACUGAGCUUGGAAGGCUAGCCAGCCAAGAGAGCCCUGGCUGGUUUCUCCAGCUAGCCAACCUCUUCGGUAUUUGUGGGUUUGUUUCCUUCCUGCAUUAGAUGAAUGUAACACGAUUCGAAGCUACUCGUGGAGCUGUUUGCCAUGACCUUAUCUGCCACUGCCCUUCUGCAUGGGUGAAGUGCUCCCUCUGUGUGCCACAGUGUGGUGUGGAAAGUGCUUGAAUCUUACUCUGAGAGUCGUUGGGGGAGCAAUUUGCCAGCUCCCAAGCACAGUGAGAAUCAUUCACUGGUUAUCAACAUUGUUUAAAAACAUGGUGUACAAGAACUCCCCAGACUCCUUAGAGAAGUGGUUUUCAACCUUUGGGAAUUGAAUGGCCCUUUCCCAGGGGUCACCUAAGACCCAAGGCCACCUAAGAUUGGAAUACACAGAUAUUUAUAUUGUGAUUCAUAACAAGUAGCAAAACUACAGUUACAAAGUAGCAAUGAAAAUAAUUUUAUCCAACUUGAAAUCAGUGCUUCUUGGGAGUCUCUCAUCUCUCUCUUUUCAUGCAGAACCACAGUGGAUCCAGACACACAGAAGUCUCCCCACGUUCCGUUUCCCCAUCAUUAAUGCACGAUUCAGAAAGACACUGUUGUGGGAUUACUCUUAAAUAAGGUUUUUGAAUUUCUGAACUAUAAAACACACAUACCUAAUGAAACUGGAGUGCCCUAGAAAUGAUUUUUUUAGUAUAGCCCAUGUGUUACUUAAGAUAUGGUUAUACUACGUGUAAGUAUAACUCAGGUAAUAUUUCGGUUAUUAGAGAAGUUGCCUUUGUGGCAUUCCUGUUUAACUGGGAUCCUGCAUUUGAUCAGACAAGUCUACUCUUGAAGCUGACGUAAAAGAAGCGACGUGGUGAUGCCCUGCCAUAUUUUCUGCACCUCUGGCUCUGAAAGACAGGCCCACAAGGUGAUUGACACUUUCGCCUUCCAAGCCAGAGGGAGCGGCAGUCUCAGCCAGGAUGGAGAAAUGCAAGGAGCUCAGCUGUCGUCGGCCUCAGGGAAUUUUUCCGCCAGGACUGAAAUUGGGGCCAAGAAAACAUGGGUCUGUAGAAGGCACUGCUCCCCGUGACUCGGAUGAGUUUUCCCUUUACUUUGGGCCUCAGAAGACAGCGCCUUUACCUCUUGGAGAUGAAAACUUUGAAUUUCAUUACGCUGAGAAAAUGUUAGAAGAAAGACGCCGACUUGCUAAACUUUCUGGUCUCUGCCAUGUUGUCUCCAUAUCCGUUUCCCAGUGGACUAGCAUGUGCUGAGGAGUUUUUUUCUGAGUUCAUUCUCCUAAGUUUAUCACACUCUUUAGCAACAGUAGCUUUAAAGUCUAGCAUUCAAUGCCCCCUUAUAGAUGAAGUUAUAACACAAUGUAUUUGUGCAACUCAGCUGUGAAAAGUGUUCAUCCGUGUGUUCAGGAAAACCACCAGUUAGAACCCAUCUCUGCUGCCUGGAGUUCCUAGAGGCCAGAGCUUCCUAGCUUAUUGUCCAGGUAGCAAUAGCUACAUCUCAAUGGAGAGCCCCCCCCCCGCCCCCCACCCCGUGUCAGUGCCAAACGAUGGACUUCGCACACAAGAACUCUCUGUCCUUCUAGGAGCGCUGUAAGGAAUAUAUUCACCUUGGACCUGAUACAGACAAGGGCACUGAUGGCACUGAUUUAGAAGUCAACGAAGAUCCUAGCAUUAGUCACAGAAAGUCAGAUUCAAACCCCAGAUUUAAACCCAAUUACGACCUCUGGUCAUAACCCAGAGUCCAGGCAACCAGCUCUCACUAAACCUUCUAGGGGGAAAAACCCCAGCAACCACAGGUAUGGAUACUCUGCUUGCCAGGAAAAAAAGGCAAAGAACCUUCUGUUGAAAAGUGAGUUCAUUUAGUACUGAAUGGUAAGCAGGUCUUUCCCCAGAUUCCACCACAGCACAGUUCCCAACUUGUCAAGCAUAGGAGUCCCAAAGUUCAUUUCCAAGCGGCUUUCCAGUCCUCACCCACCCCCAGCGCUUUCCAAGCUGCCCUCCUGAGCAGCCCACACUCACCACGCUGUCUCUGGGUGACAUUCACAUCUCCUCCCGACACCUUUCUGAUUUGGCUAUUCCCACCCGCCAAAACAGUAUCCCCUCAAAGAAACCCAAAGACUAUGCACGUUGUGUUGAAUCACAAGUGUGUGCUUGCAGCGGGUGUCUCUGAUGAGAUUCAUUUCAGAUGACAGUGGAAAUGUUAUGCUUCCAGCAGACCCACAAACAUGCGCGCAUGUGUGGAACCCAUCCCUACCCUAGUAAGGGUACUAAUGAGUUACCAGGAGGCAUGGGCUGCAAGAGGCAGGCAGAGAAACAGGAAAUUUUCUCUGUCUCUAGGGUGUGUGGUUAGAUUUUUCCCUGGGACAGGGUUCAUUGUUGGUUCCUUCCAAAAAUCCCUCCUCCUCACCCCCUCCCAUCUCCCACCUGUGAACACCACUGUCUCCAAGCUUCAUGCUGAAAUUCAUCUAUAAACCAGCACUCCCAAGUUUUCCUGGUCUAACCUUACCCUGUUCUCCAACCGAAUUCCUACUUGCCCAGUACAGCUGAGUGCAGUUGACUUUUAGUGGGAAGUCCUCUGUUGGGAUAGAUUCUUGCUACUUGGUUAAUGGUUGCUCCCAAUAUCACUUCAUCUGCCCCCCCCCAUCUCCAAUGCCAGGGUGACUAAUGACUCUUCAGAAUAGAUGGUAAAGCUGUGAGAUUUAAAGACAGACCUGGAUUUGAGUCCUGGCUCUACCUCUAACUUAGGAGGCCUAGGUAGUCACAUGACUUCUCUGAACCUCAAUUUACUGAUCUGUACAAUGGGAAUCAUUAUAAAAAGAAAUGGUGCUUUGAA
Mesocricetus auratus (golden hamster) is the source of this 3197-nucleotide long non-coding RNA. RefSeq lists it as uncharacterized. The transcript is spliced from 4 exons. The record is from RefSeq and is a predicted model, not a curated record. NCBI's taxonomy places the organism in Eukaryota, Metazoa, Chordata, Mammalia, Rodentia, Cricetidae.